This 496-nucleotide ribosomal RNA is filed under the name uncultured bacterium. RNAcentral's name for it is "partial 16S ribosomal RNA". It matches the Rfam family "Bacterial small subunit ribosomal RNA", at positions 28 to 506 of the family's 1533-position model. The record is from RNAcentral.
GAUGAACGCUGGCGGCGUGCCUAAUACAUGCAAGUCGAGCGAACAGACGAGGAGCUUGCUCCUCUGACGUUAGCGGCGGACGGGUGAGUAACACGUGUAUAACCUACCUAUAAGACUGGGAUAACUUCGGGAAACCGGAGCUAAUACCGGAUAAUAUAUUGAACCGCAUGGUUCAAUAGUGAAAGACGGUUUUGCUGUCACUUAUAGAUGGAUCCGCGCCGCAUUAGCUAGUUGGUAAGGUAACGGCUUACCAAGGCGACGAUGCGUAGCCGACCUGAGAGGGGGAUCGGCCACAGUGGAACUGAGACACGGUCCAGACUCCUACGGGAGGCAGCAGUAGGGAAGCUUCCGCAAUGGGCGAAAGCCUGCCGGAGCAACGCCGCGUGAGUGAUGAAGGUCUUCGGAUCGUAAAACUCUGUUAUUAGGGAAGAACAAAUGUGUAAGUAACUAUGCACGUCUGGACGGUACCUAAUCAGAAGACCACGGCUAACUACGU